RNAcentral lists this ribosomal RNA (305 nucleotides) under uncultured bacterium. RNAcentral describes it as "bacterial SSU rRNA". It matches the Rfam family "Bacterial small subunit ribosomal RNA", at positions 338 to 660 of the family's 1533-position model. The record is from RNAcentral.
CCUACGGGACGCAGCAGUGGGGGAUAUUGGACAAUGGGGGAAACCCUGAUCCAGCGAUGCCGCGUGAGGGAAGAAGGUUUUCGGAUUGUAAACCUCUGUGGAGGGGGACGAUAAUGACGGUACCCCUUUAGGAAGCCACGGCUAACUACGUGCCAGCAGCCGCGGUAAUACGUAGGUGGCGAGCGUUAUCCGGAUUUACUGGGUGUAAAGGGAGCGUAGGCGGCAAGGUAAGCCAGAAGUGAAAGCCCGCGGCUCAACUGCGGGACUGCUUUUGGAACUAUCUAGCUAGAUUGCAGGAGAGGUAA